AGUCGAACGGUAACAGGUCUUCGGAUGCUGACGAGUGGCGAACGGGUGAGUAAUACAUCGGAACGUGCCUAGUAGUGGGGGAUAACUACUCGAAAGAGUAGCUAAUACCGCAUGAGAUCUACGGAUGAAAGCAGGGGACCUUCGGGCCUUGUGCUACUAGAGCGGCUGAUGGCAGAUUAGGUAGUUGGUGGGGUAAAAGCUUACCAAGCCUGCGAUCUGUAGCUGGUCUGAGAGGACGACCAGCCACACUGGGACUGAGACACGGCCCAGACUCCUACGGGAGGCAGCAGUGGGGAAUUUUGGACAAUGGGCGAAAGCCUGAUCCAGCAAUGCCGCGUGCAGGAUGAAGGCCCUCGGGUUGUAAACUGCUUUUGUACGGAACGAAAAGCCUGGGGCUAAUAUCCCCGGGUCAUGACGGUACCGUAAGAAUAAGCACCGGCUAACUACGUGCCAGCAGCCGCGGUAAUACGUAGGGUGCAAGCGUUAAUCGGAAUUACUGGGCGUAAAGCGUGCGCAGGCGGUUUUGUAAGACAGUGGUGAAAUCCCCGGGCUCAACCUGGGAACUGCCAUUGUGACUGCAAGGCUAGAGUGCGGCAGAGGGGGAUGGAAUUCCGCGUGUAGCAGUGAAAUGCGUAGAUAUGCGGAGGAACACCGAUGGCGAA
This 662-nucleotide ribosomal RNA is filed under the name uncultured beta proteobacterium. RNAcentral describes it as "bacterial SSU rRNA". It matches the Rfam family "Bacterial small subunit ribosomal RNA", at positions 60 to 719 of the family's 1533-position model. Lineage: Bacteria; Pseudomonadati; Pseudomonadota; Betaproteobacteria. The record is from RNAcentral.